This 253-nucleotide ribosomal RNA is filed under the name uncultured bacterium. RNAcentral describes it as "partial 16S ribosomal RNA". It matches the Rfam family "Bacterial small subunit ribosomal RNA", at positions 524 to 776 of the family's 1533-position model. The record is from RNAcentral.
GACGAACCGUGCAAACGUUAUUCGGAAUCACUGGGCAUAAAGGGCGCGUAGGCGGCUCCAAAAGUCAGGGGUGAAAUCCGGCAGCUCAACUGUCGAAGUGCCCUUGAUACUGAUGAGCUCGAGGGAGGUAGGGGUCUGUGGAACUUCCGGUGGAGCGGUGAAAUGCGUUGAUAUCGGAAGGAACGCCGGUGGCGAAAGCGACGGACUGGACCUCUUCUGACGCUGAGGCGCGAAAGCCAGGGGAGCAAACGGG